UCUUCAUCAUCUUUAAAUAAAAAGGAUAAACAUGCAUUUCCAUUAUCUCAAGCAAACUUUCAAUACUGUGUGUUGCUUCUCUUAAAUGAGAUAAAAACCCAAGGAUGCAAAAAACUUUAUAUAAAAUAGUGUGAAGAAGAAGUAGUAACUGAAAUGAACAGCAUAAUAGAAUUUGAUAAGUUUGACUCAGCACUUGACAAUGUUUCAUCUAGUAACUCUGUAGUAUCUCUGCAGUUGUAAAUUGCUAAAUACUGA
Non-coding RNA from Hydra vulgaris (swiftwater hydra), 255 nucleotides. Lineage: Eukaryota; Metazoa; Cnidaria; Hydrozoa; Anthoathecata; Hydridae. The record is from RefSeq and is a predicted model, not a curated record.